UCCCGGGUCGUUCAGCGGUAGGACGCGACACUCUGAAUGUCGCUACGGUGGUUCGAUUCCAUCCCCGGGAGCCA
RNAcentral lists this transfer RNA (74 nucleotides) under Vulcanimicrobiota bacterium. RNAcentral's name for it is "tRNA-Gln". It matches the Rfam family "tRNA". Rfam says of the family: Transfer RNA (tRNA) molecules are approximately 80 nucleotides in length. Their secondary structure includes four short double-helical elements and three loops (D, anti-codon, and T loops). The record is from RNAcentral. Lineage: Bacteria; Bacillati; Vulcanimicrobiota.